RNAcentral lists this ribosomal RNA (726 nucleotides) under uncultured bacterium. RNAcentral's name for it is "bacterial SSU rRNA". It matches the Rfam family "Bacterial small subunit ribosomal RNA", at positions 668 to 1401 of the family's 1533-position model. The record is from RNAcentral.
UCCAUGUGUAGCGGUAAAAUGCGUAGAUAUAUGGAAGAACACCAGUGGCGAAGGCGGCCGCCUGGCCUGUUGCUGACGCUGAGGCACGAAAGCGUGGGGAGCAAAUAGGAUUAGAUACCCUAGUAGUCCACGCCGUAAACGAUGAGGACCAAGUGUUGGGGGUGAAACCUCAGUGCUGAAGUUAACGCAGUGAGUCCUCCGCCUGGGGAGUAUGCACGCAAGUGUGAAACUCAAAGGAAUUGACGGGGGCCCGCACAAGCGGUGGAGUAUGUGGUUUAAUUCGAAGCAACGCGAAGAACCUUACCAGGCCUUGACAUGGGAUGCGAAGACGCAGAGAUGCGUUGGAGGUCAACAUCCACACAGGUGGUGCAUGGUUGUCGUCAGCUCGUGUCGUGAGAUGUUGGGUCAAGUCCCGCAACGAGCGCAACCCUUGUGGCAUGUUGCUAACAGGAAAGCUGAGGACUCAUGCCAGACUGCCGGUGACAAACCGGAGGAAGGCGGGGAUGACGUCAAAUCAUCAUGCCCCUUAUGGCCUGGGCUACACACGUACUACAAUGGCGGCUACAAAGAGCGGCGAGACAGUAAUGUCGAGCGAAUCUCAUAAAAGCCGUCCCAGUUCGGAUUGGAGCCUGCAACCCGGCUCCAUGAAGUUGGAAUCGCUAGUAAUCGCGGAUCAGCAUGCCGCGGUGAAUACGUUCCCGGGCCUUGUACACACCGCCCGUCAAG